GACGAACGCUGGCGGCGUGCUUAACACAUGCAAGUCGAGGGCACUUUGGUCGCAAGACUGGAGUGACCGGCGAACGGGUGCGUAACACGUGAGCGACCUUGCCUCGUGGUGGGGGAUAGCCGGCCCAACGGCCGGGUAAUACCGCAUAGGGUGCUUUCUUCGCAUGGAGAGAGUAGCAAAACCGUGCAGCAAUGCACUGGCGCCACAGGGGGCGGUCNCGGCCGUAC
This 227-nucleotide ribosomal RNA is filed under the name uncultured bacterium. RNAcentral describes it as "partial 16S ribosomal RNA". It matches the Rfam family "Bacterial small subunit ribosomal RNA", at positions 28 to 242 of the family's 1533-position model. The record is from RNAcentral.